Marasmius tenuissimus is the source of this 96-nucleotide non-coding RNA. Lineage: Eukaryota; Fungi; Basidiomycota; Agaricomycetes; Agaricales; Marasmiaceae. The record is from the annotation of a GenBank genome assembly.
UGCCCCAUGGCUGAGUUGGUUACAGCGUCCGACUGUUAUCCAAAGUGCUCAAACAUGGCAAUCGGAAGGUCGUGAGUUCGAGCCUCACUGGGGCAG